CUGUAAAUUCAGCUGGAAGUGAUCAGCUAUGAGGGAGCUGGAAUUCGGUAGCAAUCUCCAAAGUUACAGUCUAGCAGAGUGAAGAGGUAACCAGAAACGUCACAAAUGGAGCGAAACAGAGUAGCAGUGUCUGGUCACUAAAGCCGUGGGCCAGACCACUGGAGACAGCUGAGGAUGGAGUGGAGUGCACAGAACACAGCACAAUGGAAAAGUCAGAUGGAGCCACCCUGGAAAGGGCAGCAUUGUUUGGCCUUGGCAAGCAUACACACUGCAGCUAUUAUCCUUGUGCUGGGGCAGCAACCAAUGAAUUUGGUGUGACUAAGAAAUAAAAUGCUUAGAGCUGAGCUCCCGGUGGCCUGCUUAA
This is a non-coding RNA of Microcebus murinus (gray mouse lemur), 364 nucleotides long. NCBI's taxonomy places the organism in Eukaryota, Metazoa, Chordata, Mammalia, Primates, Cheirogaleidae. The record is from RefSeq and is a predicted model, not a curated record.